This is a non-coding RNA of Thamnophis sirtalis, 838 nucleotides long. The record is from RefSeq and is a predicted model, not a curated record. NCBI's taxonomy places the organism in Eukaryota, Metazoa, Chordata, Lepidosauria, Squamata, Natricidae.
CUUGCAUUGCAGUAUUUUAAUAUAGUUUCAUUCCCCAAAUUUCUGUAUGUGACUACUUUAAUCCUAAAUGUUUUUUGACAAUAACUAUGUUUCAUAUUUUUACAGAUUGUGAUGAUAAUGAUGAUAUAUUGAUGGAGGUUGCCUUGGAAGAAGAUUGGUUUGAUUUUAAAACUGGGGGAAGAAACCUCUGUUGGAAGAAAAAUCCAGUCCGGUUCCAAUCCGGGAGAAAGGAGAUUUCUCUCUCCAAAUGAAGAGCAGAGGUUGGGUGACGCACACACAGCUGCCUGCUCUGAAUAAUAAGGCCUAUCCAAAAGUCCACGAGGCGACUCAGCAGUUGCGUUUCUGAAGUGAGUAAUAGGUUGAAAUCUCAGACAUUCUGAUUCCAAGUCAUUUCUCCACAUCCUGCCUUCUUCUGCCCACAUCAUUUAUUGAAACAGUAUUAAUCUCAGAUUUAGGCACUGGGUCUUGAAAAAUAGAUUGUAUUUAACUAUAGAAAUAUUGUAGCUUUUAAAGUAGAAGAUUAUUUACAUUUGAUAAUUUAUUAUAUGGUAGAUUAAAUUAAGAGAAGAACAUUUUAUGAAUCUUGGCUUUUUUUAGUGUGUUGCCUAGUAGCGUUUUAAAUUUUAUAGAUUGGUGUUAUUUGUUAAAACUUAUGUUUAUAUUGUUAAUAUUUAAAAGAAGUACUAAAAGAAAGUUGGAGGUCAUUUAUAUUAUAUUUGUUUGAUGCAUAUUUUUGAUCACUUUUAAUUGGCUUUGUUAGUCUCUUUCCCUUUCCAUGUUAAUGUGUAGUUUGUAUUUUAAUGUUUAAUGUUGGAAUCUAAUAAAAAUAUUAGAAAAA